CUGGCGGCGUGCCUAAUACAUGCAAGUCGAACGGUCUUUCUAUGGAAGCUUGCUUCCACUGAGAAGAUAGUGGCGAACGGGUGAGUAACACGUGGGUAACCUGCCCAUAAGAGGGGGAUAACAUCCGGAAACGGGUGCUAAUACCGCAUAGUUUUCUUGAUCGCAUGAUCGGGAAAGGAAAGACGGCCUUUGUGCUGUCGCUUAUGGAUGGACCCGCGGCGUAUUAGUUAGUUGGUGAGGUAACGGCUCACCAAGACGAUGAUACGUAGCCGACCUGAGAGGGUGAUCGGCCACAUUGGGACUGAGACACGGCCCAAACUCCUACGGGAGGCAGCAGUAGGGAAUCUUCCGCAAUGGACGAAAGUCUGACGGAGCAACGCCGCGUGAGUGAAGAAAGGUUUUCGGAUCGUAAAACUCUGUUGUCAGAGAAGAACAAGUUGGAGAGUAACUGCUCCAGCCUUGACGGUAUCUGACCAGAAAGCCACGGCUAACUACGUGCCAGCCGCCGC
RNAcentral lists this ribosomal RNA (509 nucleotides) under uncultured bacterium. RNAcentral describes it as "bacterial SSU rRNA". It matches the Rfam family "Bacterial small subunit ribosomal RNA", at positions 36 to 518 of the family's 1533-position model. The record is from RNAcentral.